Molecule: long non-coding RNA, 471 nt
Filed under: Trifolium pratense (red clover)
Lineage: Eukaryota; Viridiplantae; Streptophyta; Magnoliopsida; Fabales; Fabaceae
Description: long non-coding RNA (TPRA_LNC005177)
Source: RNAcentral
AAUCUUGUGGUCUAUGGUAAUUUGUAGAACUUUUUUUGUUUUUAAUCAGGUAAUUUCUGAAACUUAAACAGAGUAUUUAGUGCUUAACUAGAUGAAAAAUAUGUUGAUGAUUGAUAAAAUAGCCAACAAACAACCGCAAAUCAAUUAAUUUACAGAGAAAAUCUCAAUUGAAUUUGCAAUAGACAAUGCUGAUGACGAACAACGACAAAGGAACGGCGACUGCUGCGACGAGGAACGUAGAAGAAAGGCGGCAAAUAUACCACUCGUUGGAGAUGGGAGGAGAAAAAACACAUACUCCAUUAGCGGAUGAAAUGAAAUUGCAGGGAGGUGGUGAACGGUGGUGAUUUGCUUUGGGAAAGUUUUGGUUGUUUCAUGAAGGCUGGAGAGAGAAACCAAAUACUCCAUUAAUAUUUUGACACCUCAUUCGUGAAAGUUUCGCUAUUUCUUUUUUCGCUAGAAGUAGCAUUUUCC